RNAcentral lists this ribosomal RNA (495 nucleotides) under uncultured bacterium. RNAcentral describes it as "partial 16S ribosomal RNA". It matches the Rfam family "Bacterial small subunit ribosomal RNA", at positions 30 to 506 of the family's 1533-position model. The record is from RNAcentral.
AUGCACGCUGGCGGCGUGCCUAAUACAUGCCAGUCGAGCGAACAGACGAGGAGCUUGCUCCUCUGACGUUAGCGGCGGACGGGUGAGUAACACGUGGAUAACCUACCUAUAAGACUGGGAUAACUUCGGGAAACCGGAGCUAAUACCGGAUAAUAUAUUGAACCGCAUGGUUCAAUAGUGAAAGACGGUUUUGCUGUCACUUAUAGAUGGAUCCGCGCCGCAUUAGCUAGUUGGUAAGGUAACGGCUUACCAAGGCAACGAUGCGUAGCCGACCUGAGGGGGGGAUGGGCCAACCGGGAAGUGAGAACGGGCCAAGCCCCCACGGGGGGGCAGAAGGGGGAAAUUUUCCGAAAGGGGGGAAAGCUUGACGGGGAAAGCCGGGGGGGGGGAUGAAGUGUUGCGGUUCGUAAAACCUUUUUAUUAGGGAAAAAAAAAUGUGAAAUUAACGAUGCCGGUUUGACAGGAACCAAAGAAAAAAGCCCGGGCGACCUCGGG